UACGGAGGGUCCAAGCGUUGUCCGGAUUUACUGGGCGUAAAGAGCGCGCAGGCGGUCGUUCAAGUCGCGUGUGAAAGCCCCCGGCUCAACUGGGGAGGGUCACGCGAUACUGAUCGACUCGAAGGCAGGAGAGGGUAGUGGAAUUCCCGGUGUAGUGGUGAAAUGCGUAGAUAUCGGGAGGAACACCAGUGGCGAAGGCGACUACCUGGCCUGUUCUUGACGCUGAGGCGCGAAAGCUAGGGUAGCAAACGGG
Molecule: ribosomal RNA, 253 nt
Filed under: uncultured bacterium
Lineage: Bacteria
Description: partial 16S ribosomal RNA
Rfam family: Bacterial small subunit ribosomal RNA
Source: RNAcentral